UAUACUUUUUAUGGGAGCUUUAAACAUAAGGCUGAGAGGAUUCUGAUGUUGAAUCGACCGUAUCUGAUCUAGAUAAUGCUAGCGAAGAGAUAACAUAAUUUUGUUUU
Molecule: non-coding RNA, 107 nt
Filed under: Firmicutes bacterium CAG:345
Lineage: Bacteria; Bacillati; Bacillota
Also listed under: 1 other name
Description: TPP riboswitch aptamer (THI element)
Rfam family: TPP riboswitch aptamer (THI element)
About the family: Vitamin B(1) in its active form thiamin pyrophosphate (TPP) is an essential coenzyme that is synthesised by coupling of pyrimidine and thiazole moieties in bacteria. The previously detected thiamin-regulatory element, thi box was extended, resulting in a new, highly conserved RNA secondary structure, the THI element, which is widely distributed in eubacteria and also occurs in some archaea.
Source: Rfam by way of RNAcentral